UAAGUAUAACCUGCCAGACAGGGAAACUGCGUACGGCUCAUUACACCAGCCUUAAUUUACUUGACCUUGACAACCUACUUGGAUAACUGUGGUAAUUCUAGAGCUAAUACAUGCACCAAAGCUCCGAUCCUCGCGGAGAGGAGCGCAUUUGUUCGCCACAAAACCAAGCGCCCAUCUGGGCGUCCAGUGCUGAACCAGAACAACUCAGCUGAUCGCACGGUCUUGUACCGGCGACGUGUCUUUCAAGUGUCUGCCUUAUCAACUUUCGAUGGUAGUGUACCUGACUACCAUGGUUGUGACGGGUAACGGAGGAUAAGGGUUCGACUCCGGAGAAGGGGCCUGAGAAAUGGCCACUACGUCUAAGGAUGGCAGCAGGCGCGCAAAUUACCCACUCUCAACGCGAGGAGGUAGUGACGAGAAAUAACGAGACCGUUCUCAUACGAGGCCGGUUAUUGGAAUGGGUACAAUUUAAA
Molecule: ribosomal RNA, 473 nt
Filed under: unidentified nematode Sourhope farm
Lineage: Eukaryota; Metazoa; Nematoda
Description: SSU rRNA
Rfam family: Eukaryotic small subunit ribosomal RNA
Source: RNAcentral